Molecule: ribosomal RNA, 472 nt
Filed under: Klebsiella pneumoniae
Lineage: Bacteria; Pseudomonadati; Pseudomonadota; Gammaproteobacteria; Enterobacterales; Enterobacteriaceae
Description: bacterial SSU rRNA
Rfam family: Bacterial small subunit ribosomal RNA
Source: RNAcentral
AAAUUGAAGAGUUUGAUCAUGGCUCAGAUUGAACGCUGGCGGCAGGCCUAACACAUGCAAGUCGAGCGGUAGCACAGAGAGCUUGCUCUCGGGUGACGAGCGGCGGACGGGUGAGUAAUGUCUGGGAAACUGCCUGAUGGAGGGGGAUAACUACUGGAAACGGUAGCUAAUACCGCAUAAUGUCGCAAGACCAAAGUGGGGGACCUUCUGGCCUCAUGCCAUCAGAUGUGCCCAGAUGGGAUUAGCUAGUAGGUGGGGUAACGGCUCACCUAGGCGACGAUCCCUAGCUGGUCUGAGAGGAUGACCAGCCACACUGGAACUGAGACACGGUCCAGACUCCUACGGGAGGCAGCAGUGGGGAAUAUUGCACAAUGGGCGCAAGCCUGAUGCAGCCAUGCCGCGUGUGUGAAGAAGGCCUUCGGGUUGUAAAGCACUUUCAGCGGGGAGGAAGGCGUUAAGGUUAAUAACCUUG